AAAGGGCCUCAGCACUUAGCAUGGUGGAGGAGUCAGAGGAAGUGAGGAUGCAGAUGGGGACAGCGGGCAGGAGGAGAAGUAGAGAGAAGUGGAGGGAAGAGACACUGAGGGGAAAGAGAAAGCACGCAUGCACAUAGUUACAAGGUUUCCCUUCAACUUCCCCCAAAGCUUAAUAGAUUUCUAAAUGGGCUUAUUAUCACCACCUAUGAAUUAUUUUAAAGGAUCUAAUUAUAAAACACCAAACUAGCUAAUUAGGUUUCCUGAGCUCUCCUUGACACAGGUGCAAACAGGCUCUCUGGAUGGUAGUUCUGGCAAAGCCUGCAGAGCCGAGUCCAUGGGGGUGGGAGGCUGCCUGUGGCCCACAAUUAGGCCUCUAAUUGUAGGUGUCCUCCUGCCACUGCCAGGCCUCCAGAGACGCUGGCUGCCUGACCUCUCACCUGAUGGAUAGGAGCAGAGGGCCUGCAGAACAGGGUGCAGCUUCCCUUGGGCCUCUCGGGUUUUGAGGCUGAGGAUGAAGCGAGAAUUGGACAGCUAAUGAUGAUCACGCAGGCUUCACCCCAUUCCUCCACCUCCCUCAUCAUCUCUACCACACGAGCCUCAUUGUCUCUCCGUGAGGUGGCCCCAAGAAAGUCUGAGGUUUGUGAACUACAUAGCACUUACUGCCCCAAGCUCCUUACCACUGUCCCCUUCUCCAAGUCAGUCACCACUCUUGCCAGCUCUGUCCUGGUCCCCCAACUCCUCUGCGGCCAUACAGGGUCCCAAUGUCCCUCUUUCACCGGAGCCUUUCCACUUUACCAGCUUGACAUAUUAAACUUCUGAGUAGAAUGUUACCAUUUAACCACAGGUGCCAUGGCUUUAAGAGAUGUGGAAACCCUGGAGCUGGAAACCCACACCCCAGGCCUUACCUCUCUGAGCCUCAUUUCCGUUGUUCUCAGGUGUGGGUGAUGCCACCUAUCUCUGACAGUCAUGGUGAGGAGGAGCAGAAACUCUACACGAGACGCACUUAAGCAGCGCUUGUUACACACUAGGGCGGGGCUAGGUUCCCCUCUCUCCUUCCUCCUCUGGGUUCCAGACGGGCUCCAGUGGGGCUGGUUCUCUUGGAUCCAGAGAUGUCUCUGGGCUGCACUAGCCCAUCCCCUUCAUUCCAUUAGUAAAUCCUGGAGUCCAGGAGCUGCAUCAAAUUCACUGCAGCUCAACAAACCUCUGGUGGGUGCCUGUUGUGCGCCAGGUGCCCUGACAGUGGCUGAAGAUGUAGAGACGGAACAAGAAAGGACCUCGUACCCUGGAAGCUCCAGUGUGGAUAAGCCUGACGGGGUGGAGAGUAAUUGGAAAGGAGCGGCCUCAUCCCCAACUCCAAAUUAAUAUUUUCCUGUCCUGAUUUAAUUCCGCCCGGGAACAGAGACACAGAGACACGCCGUGUCAAGCGCUAAGUAAUCCGCCAUGAGCCACCUGAGGAGGAGGAAGGACUCCUUUUCUUUGCGAAACUGGGAUUGGAGAGGAGGGAAUAAGUGCUGUCUGGAAGAAGAGAAGAGAGAAGCCCAGCGAGUGGUGUAACUAGUUUGGAGUGUGCUGUGUGAUGUCAUCUGUUCCCCUGUCUUACCAUGGAAACUUCAGUAAAAUCCCCUCUGCCCACCCACACUUUGGGAAUUGGAUAUAUAUGUGAUACGUGCUACAGAGUGAGCGUGGGGGUAGAGCAGAGGCUGACCUGCAUUCAGGUCCCGCAUGUGGAGGAUUGCCCGAUCAAUUACUCCUUUCCACAGCCAUCCAUGGACUGCAGACCAUGCACCAGCGUGGUGCCAAAGCUGGGAACAACCCCGAAUGUGAUGUGGUCCUGCCCUCCAUCAAAGACCAGAGGGGAGGACUCCGCAGACCUAUUAGUUCAGAACCCAGGAUGGAUUCUCCAGGGGGCAGAGGAGUCCUACCUGAGCAGCUUCUGGAAGCCAGAGUGGGGCCAGCACAUACAUUUUCCCACUCAGUCCUCAGAAACUCGGCUCAGAGGGUAGGGGACUGGCUCAGGGUCACACAGCUGGGAGGAGGUAAAGCCGGAUGCGCCCCCAGGUGUGUAACUUUAUAGAUCAGCAUUGCUCAGGGCUCACCAGCCAUGCUGAUGCAGAAAUGAAGACGGGCACUCUGUCCCCUUGCCCCAGGCAGCCUCAGCGCUGCAUUUCUGUCUCGACACUCCCCCGACAGCGGAAGGACCCCUCACCUCCAGCCUUGGGCUUUAUCCCAGCUGUCGCCAAAGUUGCAGACAUGACUUAGGGCCAGAAGAUCCUCACAGGCUCUGCCCUCAUCCUGCCCACUGCUCCUGCCCCCGACCUCAGGGACUUCAGGGGACACGUAUGGCUUUUAUCUGCCUGGCAUCUAUCUCUUUUAAAACUACCUCAAAUUUCCUUUGGUGCCUGCAUCCCCCUCCCACUAUGAGUCCAUGUGGCCCUCAGAGGCAGAGCCCACUCCCAAGCUCCAGGGUUGGCUAUGGGCCUGAAAUCCUCCCCCCGCCCUUGGCCACAGUGACUGGUUCAUGGGAGGACAUGUGACCUAACCUGGGCCAGUGACACUCAGUCUUGAGAAUUUUACUGUUACUACUGAGAAGGAGAUGCUCCCUUUGUUGAACCAUUAGGAUGUGGGCCUAGUGCUAUAGGCAGCCGUCUUGUGAUCACAGGGAGAGAGCAAGCCUGAGGAAGAGCCCAGCCUAGAAGAAGCCAAGAAGAGCUGAGAGGUGAAGACGGAUCUUUGAUAAUGUUUUCUGAACUUCCGGAUCACACUGCCCCUAAAGACGCCCUUCCCCUCUUCAAUAGUCAGUAACCUCCCUUCUGCUCAAGCCAGCUUGAGUUUAGGUUUCUAUCUGGCUCUUUCCCCAAAGUGAAAAGAGUUGGGACUAAUUUAGGCAUCAACAUCUUGUAGGAAUUGUGCCAAUGUGUUAACCGCUGCCCACUCUAAUCCCCUGGAAGGAAUCUGAGAUGAAUUGAAUCCAAAUCCAUCUUUGACAGUGGAGGAAACUGAAUCCCAGAUUUAGAAAAACAAAGUAACAUCCAAAGCCACAGAACCAGUAAGGGGCAGAACUGAGAUUCCAACUCAAACCUGAAGACUCUUCAUCCUGAGUCCAUUCUGGACCAUCGUGUGAUUCAUUUGUUUAGUUCUGAAAAGGUCUGCAUGCAGUGUGUGUACAUAGCAUGGAUGUGUUUCUGUGUCCUCAGAGAGAUACUGAGGUCCUCAAGGGCCAGGCUUGUGCCGCUGACAUCCCUGACAUCUCCCAGGCCCAAGUUAACACAGUGGUUGUCCUCAAGGGAUCCCUGACAUCAAGUAUAAAUGGGCUUCCAAAGAAUGCCACUCUGGCAUGCCCAGAGCUGGGAGGUUAUCUGGUUCUGGGAAUGACACUGAGAGGCCAGGGUGGGAGUUUACAGGCCUCCCCAGCAGGCAGGCAGAAAGAUGAAAACACAGACACUUGGAGACAAAGGGCUGAAGCCAUGCCCACUGAGGACCCCGGAGAGGAAGGCCAGGAUCUCAGAGCGGGCAGAGGAAGAAGUCAGUGGGCAACUGUCAAGGAGACACAUGAUUGUGUAAGGUGGGUACAUCUGUGUAAAGUAGCCGCUCCAUUCUUAAUUGCAUCAGGCCAAACCCCCUGGUCCAUCCAGACAAGACCCUGGACCCCAAAUCCUGGGGCAGCCUAGACCCAAGCCCAAGCCUCUUACAGCAUCACUGCCCUCUCUCCUGACUCAUCCCUACAGGGCUUCUCCCUGUGCCCAUCCCUGUGGGAGGAUGUACUCUCCACUCCAUUGACACCGGACUUGAUGAUAUGGCUCCUUUUGGUGAACGGAAGAGGAACAGAAGUGACAUCCAAGCAAAAACUUUAGGAGUGUCACAUGUUUCCACCAUCUUUCUUGAUCUUUUCCCUCUGCCCCCAGAAUAACAUAUCUUGGAUCAGGCCUGCUUUUUCACUCUGAACCCCAGAAUGAAGAUUUAUAGAGCUGAGCCACCAACGGCCCACAGCAGAUAUGUACCAUGAGCAAAAAGUCAACUUUUGUUGGUGUAAGCCACUGAGAUUUGGGGAUAGAUUGUUACUGCAAACAAUUAGUUAGCAAAAGCUAACUACUACAGAGGGCAACGCGCACAGCUUUAAGGCCACUUAUGACAACCCAAUGGGGAGCCAAGUGGCUCCCCACGUUGCUUCAAAUCAAAGGGUACAGUGGCUUCCAUUGAACAUGAACAGGAGUCACAUGGGAUACUUAGUGAAAUGCAGAUUCCCAGAUCCCCCUCCUGAGAUUUGGAGCCAGUUCAUCAAGGGGGGUCCACAGAUUCGUUUUUUGACAAGCUCUGAAGAUGACAUAUGGGCUGUCAACAGACCACAC
RNAcentral lists this long non-coding RNA (4346 nucleotides) under Equus caballus (horse). RNAcentral's name for it is "lncRNA (ENSECAG00000049983.1)". The record is from RNAcentral. Lineage: Eukaryota; Metazoa; Chordata; Mammalia; Perissodactyla; Equidae.